This 388-nucleotide ribosomal RNA is filed under the name uncultured bacterium. RNAcentral's name for it is "bacterial SSU rRNA". It matches the Rfam family "Bacterial small subunit ribosomal RNA", at positions 29 to 416 of the family's 1533-position model. The record is from RNAcentral.
AUUAAACGCUGGCGGCAUGCCUUACACAUGCAAGUCGAACGGCAGCACGGGGGCAACCCUGGUGGCGAGUGGCGGACGGGUGAGUAAAGCAUCGGAACGUAUCCUGGAGUGGGGGGAUAACGUAGCGAAAGUUACGCUAAUACCGCAUAUUCUGUGAGCAGGAAAGCAGGGGGAUCGCAAGACCUUGCGCUCUGGGAGCGGCCGAUGUCGGAUUAGCUAGUUGGUGGGGUAAAGGCCUACCAAGGCGACGAUCCGUAGCGGGUCUGAGAGGAUGAUCCGCCACACUGGGACUGAGACACGGCCCAGACUCCUACGGGAGGCAGCAGUGGGGAAUUUUGGACAAUGGGCGGAAGCCUGAUCCAGCCAUGCCGCGUGAGUGAAGAAGGCC